CCUACGGGGGGCAGCAGUGGGGAAUAUUGGGCAAUGGAGGCAACUCUGACCCAGCAACGCCGCGUGAAUGAUGAAGGUCUUCGGAUUGUAAAGUUCUGUGAUGGGGGAUGAACACAAUGACGGUACCCCAAUAGCAAGCCACGGCUAACUACGUGCCAGCAGCCGCGGUAAUACGUAGGUGGCAAGCGUUAUCCGGAAUGACUGGGCGUAAAGGGUGCGUAGGUGGUUUAGUAAGUUGGCGGUGUAAUUCCGGGGCUCAACCUCGGCGCUACCGCCAAAACUAUUAGACUAGAGUGCAGGAGGGGUAAGUGGAAUUCCUAGUGUAGCGGUGGAAUGCGUAGAUAUUAGGAGGAACACUCGUGGCGAAGGCGGGUUCCUGGACAUUAACUGACGCUGAGGCACGAAGGCCAGGGGAGCGAAAGGGAUUAGAUACCCGUGUAGUC
Molecule: ribosomal RNA, 443 nt
Filed under: uncultured bacterium
Lineage: Bacteria
Description: partial 16S ribosomal RNA
Rfam family: Bacterial small subunit ribosomal RNA
Source: RNAcentral